RNAcentral lists this ribosomal RNA (467 nucleotides) under uncultured bacterium. RNAcentral describes it as "partial 16S ribosomal RNA". It matches the Rfam family "Bacterial small subunit ribosomal RNA", at positions 28 to 507 of the family's 1533-position model. The record is from RNAcentral.
GACGAACGCUGGCGGCGUGCUUAACACAUGCAAGUCGAACGGAAAGGCCUCUUUCGGGGGGUACUCGAGUGGCGAACGGGUGAGUAACACGUGAGUAACCUGCCCUUGACUUUGGGAUAACUUCAGGAAACUGGGGCUAAUACCGGAUAGGAGCUCCUGCUGCAUGGUGGGGGUUGGAAAGUUUCGGCGGUUGGGGAUGGACCCGCGGCUUAUCAGCUUGUUGGUGGGGUAGUGGCUUACCAGGGCUUUGACGGGUAGCCGGCCUGCGAGGGUGACCGGCCACAUUGGGACUGAGAAACGGCCCAGACUCCUACGGGAGGCAGCAGUGGGGAAUAUUGCACAAUGGGUGGAAGCCGGAUGCAGCAACGCCGUGUGCGGGAUGACGGCCUUCGGGUUGGAAACCGAUUUCGCUCAUGACGAAGCUUUGUGUGACGGUAGUGGGUAAAGAAGCACCGGCUAACUACGUG